This 482-nucleotide ribosomal RNA is filed under the name uncultured bacterium. Its description in RNAcentral is "SSU rRNA". It matches the Rfam family "Bacterial small subunit ribosomal RNA", at positions 26 to 523 of the family's 1533-position model. The record is from RNAcentral.
AGGACGAACGCUGGCGGCGUGCUUAACACAUGCAAGUCGAACGGUAAGGCCCUUCGGGGUACACGAGUGGCGAACGGGUGAGUAACACGUGGGUGAUCUGCCCUGCACUUCGGGAUAAGCUUGGGAAACUGGGUCUAAUACCGGAUAUGACUACGAAUCGCAUGGUUUGUGGUGGAAAGCUUUUGCGGUGUGGGAUGGGCCCGCGGCCUAUCAGCUUGUUGGUGGGGUGAUGGCCUACCAAGGCGACGACGGGUAGCCGGCCUGAGAGGGUGUCCGGCCACACUGGGACUGAGAUACGGCCCAGACUCCUACGGGAGGCAGCAGUGGGGAAUAUUGCACAAUGGGCGCAAGCCUGAUGCAGCGACGCCGCGUGAGGGAUGACGGCCUUCGGGUUGUAAACCGUCUUUCAGUAUCGUACGAAGCGCAAGUGACGGUAGGUACAGAAGAAGGACCGGCCAACUACGCGCCAGCAGCCGCGGUAA